AGAACGAACGCUGGCGGCAUGCCUAAUACAUGCAAGUCGAACGAACACUUCGGUGUUAGUGGCGCACGGGUGCGUAACGCGUGGGAAUCUGCCCUUGGGUUCGGAAUAACAGUUGGAAACGACUGCUAAUACCGGAUGAUAUCGAAAGAUCAAAGAUUUAUCGCCCAGGGAUGAGCCCGCGUAGGAUUAGCUAGUUGGUGAGGUAAAGGCUCACCAAGGCGACGAUCCUUAGCUGGUCUGAGAGGAUGAUCAGCCACACUGGGACUGAGACACGGCCCAGACUCCUACGGGAGCAGCAGUAGGGAAUAUUAGGACAAUGGGCGAAAGCCUAGAU
Molecule: ribosomal RNA, 334 nt
Filed under: uncultured soil bacterium
Lineage: Bacteria
Description: bacterial SSU rRNA
Rfam family: Bacterial small subunit ribosomal RNA
Source: RNAcentral